UACGGGGGGGAGCAAGCGUUGUUUCGGAUUUACUGGGCGUAAAGGGCGCGUAGGCGGCGUGACAAGUCACUUGUGAAAUCUCCGGGCUUAACUCGGAACGGUCAAGUGAUACUGUCGUGCUAGAGUACAGAAGGGGCAACUGGAAUUCUCGGUGUAGCGGUGAAAUGCGUAGAUAUCGAGAGGAACACCUGCGGCGAAGGCGGGUUGCUGGGCUGAUACUGACGCUGAGGCGCGAAAGCUAGGGGAGCGAACGGG
This 255-nucleotide ribosomal RNA is filed under the name uncultured bacterium. RNAcentral's name for it is "partial 16S ribosomal RNA". It matches the Rfam family "Bacterial small subunit ribosomal RNA", at positions 524 to 776 of the family's 1533-position model. The record is from RNAcentral.